This 117-nucleotide ribosomal RNA is filed under the name Cytophagaceae bacterium. Lineage: Bacteria; Pseudomonadati; Bacteroidota; Cytophagia; Cytophagales; Cytophagaceae. The record is from RNAcentral.
UCUGGUGUCAAUUGCGUUGUGGCUCCACCCGUUCCCAUUCCGAACACGGUCGUGAAACGCUUCUGCGGCGACAAUACUGGGGGCACAAGCCUCUGGGAAGAUAGCACGGCGCCAGAU